AUGUCUGUGGUUUGCAUUCGAGACAGACAGAACACAAGGGAUAACAUGCUACGAAAACAUUGGGUAAAAGUUGUAACGCACAAUGGCUGUGACCUAUGCCCAACUGUAGAAACCAUGAACCAUGCUCUACUCCGACGCAAGCUGGCAGAAACGGUGUGGACCAAGGUUGGGCUGAAGGAGCUGGCUAUCUCCUCGACAGCAGUACAGGAUUUCUUCAGCUUAGAGCAGCCGAGAGCUAUGUGGAAAGUUCUGGCCUCUUCUCUUUGCGGCAUGUGUCGUCAUUCUCUGGAACGCUCAGAACACGCAAGUUUUCAAGGGAUAAUCCUGGCGGCAUGGACGUGUCUUCGGUGA
Molecule: ribosomal RNA, 351 nt
Filed under: Triticum aestivum (bread wheat)
Lineage: Eukaryota; Viridiplantae; Streptophyta; Magnoliopsida; Poales; Poaceae
Description: partial small subunit ribosomal RNA
Source: RNAcentral